Molecule: long non-coding RNA, 261 nt
Filed under: Brassica napus (rape)
Lineage: Eukaryota; Viridiplantae; Streptophyta; Magnoliopsida; Brassicales; Brassicaceae
Description: long non-coding RNA (BNAP_LNC006423)
Source: RNAcentral
GCAGCUGACCCUUCUAAAGAUGACCCUUUAUAAUAUGGGCUAUUUAGAGGUUUGUAAUAUUGGCCCUUAUUGGGUCGAGAGAUGAUAGGUUUUAUAUGCAUGCAAUCAUGUGAAUGUGAUUCAUGUCUUGUUGAAAACACGGAGAAGUAAGCAUGUGGUUGGGUGUGAAUAUGCGAUGCAUAUGGCUGAGAGAUUCUCUCAGAGACUACUUUUAGCAAGAAAGCAACUGAAAACACUUUAAAGAUUAUAAAAACUUGGAAA